AUGACCAACUGCUUGUUAAUCAGUAUUACCAAGAAUCAUGGUGCGACUGCCUCCAGCUCCAGAAUCAUACCACAAGUCAACGGAGACGGCGCCGAACAUGCCGCGAGUGACCACCUGCUCGCCGGACUACUCAAGACCGGAAGGUAUUUGAUUGUGAUUGAUGGCGUGAAUACACAUGAGUUGUACGACGUACUAUCUGCAUUCUCUUGGGCUGAUGGAAUGGGCGGCAGAAUUAUCAUGACGACGACCAUUCAACUACCAGCAGCGACAUGCUGCAAAUGUGGCAAUGGUUCAUCACUUGCUAUGGAUAGCACAAGCCAGGUUUUCAUUGGGGAGCUGACAGAGAGUGGAUUUGUGGAGGCCUGCCUCCAUCUUCGUGAUGACACACUGGCAAGAAUGCACCGCAGCAACAACGAGAUCCUAUCCAGCCCCGUUGUCCAGGACUUAUUGCUGUAUUUCUGCAUGUUCCCACGCGAUCAUCCUGUCAGGAGGAAUCCCCUGAUAAGGAGAUGGCUGGCUGAAGGGCUUGUGUUUCCUCAGCCUGAAACAGAGAAUUUUUCCCAGGAUGUUGCGGUCAAGAAUUUGGAGAGCCUCAUCAGCCGCAACAUCAUUCAGCCCAUUCAAGUGAGGACCUAUGGAAAUGUGAAGAAAUGCCAAACUUCUGGGAUAAUGCUCAACUCCAUUUCCAGCAAAUCCAAGUCACAGAAUUUCAUCACCAUGUUGUGUGGCGGCCAGACAACAGAGAAGAAUCUGCCGGGCAAAGAGAUUCGCCGGCUUUCCCUCCAUCUUAAUGGUGCGGCAAAUGGGCCACUGAAUUUGCCAAAGGAGUUAUCUCGUCUCCAUACUCUGGCAGUAUUCCCUGAUGAUACAAAUGUGACCAGGCAUCAAGCUAAUUUGAAUUAUGCCGAGUAUAAGCUACUGCGGGUUUUGGACCUCAAAGAAUGUGCUGAUGUGAAAGCAGAACAUGUUGGCAAAAUAUGUGACCUGUUGCUGCUCAAAUAUCUGAGCCUCGGAGACAGUAUUGACAAGGUUCCAAGGAAAAUAGCGAAGCUAAAAUGGUUGGAGACUCUUGACAUGAGGAGAACCCAGGUAGUGAUGUUGCCAAUUGAAGUCCUCCACCUCCCCGGGUUGAAACACCUCCUUGGAAAGUUUCAGUUACUUGAAGGUGACUGCACACAUAAGAAGCUAGAGAAGCUCUUGUCAGAAGAUAGUGAAUUGCAGAGGCUUUCUGGAUUUGUCACUGACAAAAACGAAGGGUUUGCGCAGCUGAUGAGUCGCAUGGGGAAGUUGAGGAAGGUGAAAAUAUGGUGCGAUUCCACUGCAGAUGUGAUGAAACUAGUUUGUGUUUUAGGGGCCACGGAGAAAUUCAUUUGCGGAGGCCUGGAUAUGACAAGAGUUGACCGUUCCUUAUCUAUCGACCUCCAAGGAUGCCCAACAGAAUGCUCAGAACAAUUCAUGGAUUCUCUGCAAGCUACAGGCCGUCUUACCUCGCUCAAAUUGCGCGGAAAGCUGAUGCGACUCCCUCAGUUCAAGGCAAAGCUGAACUACAUCGAGGAGUUGUGCCUCUCAAGAACUAAUCUGAGCGGGGACACAAUCCUAGAUGGCCUGUCUGAACUUAGAAUGACACUUAAGUGUCUUAAACUGGUAGAAGAUAAGCUUGGGCACUUGGUCAUAAAACCGGAGCAUUUCCGAAGCCUGAAGGGGUUAUGCCUUGUGGGCGAGCAAAGUAUGGAGGACAUAACAAUCCAAGAUGAAGCUAUGCCCUACCUUGUGUCACUUCAUAUGCUUUGUGCAGCUCUAGGUAAUCUUCCUGGCGUCGACAUCACACGCAUGGCAAGGCUAAAAGAAGUCACGCUCCAUUCUGGAGUACAAGAGUCGAUAAAGGAUGGGUGGCAAACAGCUGCAAAGAACCAUCCUAAUAGACCCAGCGUUUUGUUUAUCCACCAUGCUAACUCCUCACCUAGAGGCUCUCCGCCGUGCCAAGCAACAGCGGAAAUUGCAAAUCAGACCAAACCUAUUGGGAGAAAAUUCACCGCCUCCAUCAUGGGUGGCAUCUUUGGUUGUGCACGGCCAAGAUCCUGA
RNAcentral lists this ribosomal RNA (2082 nucleotides) under Triticum aestivum (bread wheat). Its description in RNAcentral is "partial small subunit ribosomal RNA". Lineage: Eukaryota; Viridiplantae; Streptophyta; Magnoliopsida; Poales; Poaceae. The record is from RNAcentral.